ACGCUCGACACCUACGGGGGCAGCAGUGGGGAAUAUUGCACAAUGGAGGAAACUCUGAUGCAGCGACGCCGCGUGAGCGAAGAAGUAUUUCGGUAUGUAAAGCUCUAUCAGCAGGGAAGAAAAAGGACGGUACCUGACUAAGAAGCUCCGGCUAAAUACGUGCCAACAGGCGGUAAUCUGAGCGGGCUGGCAAGGC
This 196-nucleotide ribosomal RNA is filed under the name uncultured bacterium. RNAcentral's name for it is "partial 16S ribosomal RNA". It matches the Rfam family "Bacterial small subunit ribosomal RNA", at positions 328 to 539 of the family's 1533-position model. The record is from RNAcentral.